This 5768-nucleotide long non-coding RNA is filed under the name Sus scrofa (pig). RNAcentral describes it as "lncRNA (ENSSSCG00005006139.1)". The record is from RNAcentral. Lineage: Eukaryota; Metazoa; Chordata; Mammalia; Artiodactyla; Suidae.
UUGCCUCUUCCUAGCUUCUGGUGGAGGGCAAUCCUUGACAUUCUUUGCUUAUAAGACGCAUCACUUCAUCUCCAUCUUCACAUGGCAUUCUCCAUUUGUGUGUCUCUGUGUCAAAAUUUCCCUCUUCUUAUGAGGCUACCAGUCAUACUGGAUUUAGGGCCCACCGUAAUCCAGUAUGACUUCAUCCAAACAUGACUAUGUCUACAAAGACCCUAUUUCCAAAUAAGGUCAUGUUCACAGAUUGCAGGUGGACAUGCAAUUUGAGGAGCCGGGAGACACUAUUCAAUCCAGGACAGAAAACUUAAUUCCAUCUACAACCUUAAGUCCUCUUCAUGUUAACCUAACAUAUUCACAGGUUCCAGGUGUUAAGGUAUGGACAUCUGGGGUAGGGAAGGAGCAGUACACUGCCUACCACAAACCAGAUGAAUGUAUCUGUGCUAGCUGUAUUCUCAUAAAACUAUAUAUUUUUUCCAGCCUUCUGAAGUCAGUUGUCCUUCCAGUAACCUCUGUUGUCCAGUCAUGUAAUAAGAGGUACAGCCAUGAUAGCACCAUGGGGAAAUCACUUUCCCUAAGUGGACAAGGCAUGCUGCUAGUCAAGGUAUAAAACUGGUUUCCAGUCUGUGAUUCUUUAAUGGUCUUCCUGAAACCACCCAGCCCAUUUCUCUCCCCACCACAUAUGACUCUCUUAACUUCCCGCUUCCAUUCUUGAUGGCAGGGGCUUCACAUUGCCAUUCUCUGUGCACAGAAUGUCUUAUUAUUGCCAUUUAGGCUAUUCCACCCCAUCAGGCAAAAACCAUACAUUUCAAUGGUUUUCUCCCAUAAACCUUCUCUUAGCAAGUGACAGACCACCUAAUUCUGACACAAUAGUCAUAUGUUCACUAUUCAUAGAAGUUUUAAAAAAAUGACUGCAAACGAUAUGAUGCUCCCCCCAGUGAAGGCAAAGAUUGUGUCCCUUCCCUCUGAAUCUGAGUGAGGCUGGGACGGCUUUGACACUAGAGUAAAGGGGACGUGACCCAUGCGGUUUACACUACGCCACUUCUGCCUAACCACCUUGGAACAUCCACUCUCAUCAGGAUGUCUCUCAAAAUCUCUCUUCUGGGAUCUCUGUGGCCGCACCAUGAGAAGCUUACACCAUAUAAAGAAGUAACAAGUAGCUGGAUGACAGUCUCAGAGUCUCUGCUAAGCCCAUCUUCAGCCAUCCUAGCCCAGGGGCCAGAUAUGUAAGUGAAAGGACAUUUUGGACGUAGAUCUCUGGACCCCAGUUGGCAGCCCCCAGCCACGUGGGUCUCCCCAGCUGGCGUCAUGGGACCGUUGCCUUGUUCAAUGCUUAAUGGAUUUCUAAAAAGGACUUCCUUGGCUACACUGUGAGUAAAUUUCACUAGUGUCUGUGAAAGCUUUCCUUUCUUUGUCUGUUUCCCUUUCCUUUAGUCUGCCUUCUUUCUGUUCUUCCCUCCCUCCUUCCCNNNNNNNNNNNNNNNNNNNNNCCUUCCCCCGCCCUCCUUCCCUCCUUUCCUCCUUCCUCUUCAGUGCAUACUUCUAGAGGCUGUGAGCUGAAAAUAGCUAACCACUUUACUGCUUCCAGCAAGUGCUGUGCUGAGAGCCUCAUAAAUACUGAGACAUUUUACAAACAAUCUGACAUCAUGUUGGUAGCCUGAAACUGGCCAUGGUGGUAGUACCUACACCAUGGAGAUGAACAAAAGCUAGAAAUCAGAGCUUUUCUUUCCAGAGAUCAGUUUGGUAAACAUUUACUAGCACAUCAGUGACUUCUCUCAAAGAUGACUUCCACAAAAUAACUGCAAUUCCCCUGAAACCGGCAAAAGAAGUAUCUGUCAGAUUUCAGAGGUGACUCACAACUUUGAAAUGCAAUGAUGAUUGGCUAAGCCCACAUUUGCAAAAUGAGGUCAAACUUAUACGCAAUAUCAGGUUCAUGAAGUUCAAUGUCGCUUUUAAUUUGUGUAAGAUACCACUUUACCUGAGGGUAGAGCUAAAAGUCUAAAGAUGUUGCUAAAAAACAUUAGCUACUUUUUCUUUAAGAGACCAGGUAAUGGGAUAAACUGUGGUAUAUUUAUACAAUGGAAUGCUAUUCAGCAAUAAAAAUGCACUACUCGUAUACACAAGAAUAUCAAUAAAUUUCAAAAACAUGAUGCUGAAGGAACAAAGGCACUCUAAAGGGUACACAUUCUACACGAGAUUCCAUCUACGUGAAAUUCCAGAGAGGCAGCACUAAUCUAUGGAGAUAGAAAUCCCAUGAGUAGUUGCUUGGUAGGGUGAUUGUGGCUGUCUGGGAGGGACACAAAGGUCUAACAAGUUGGAAAUAUUCUGUACCUUGAUCAGCGUAUAGGUUACACGAGCAUGUAAAUUUUUCCAGUGGCUAAAACUGCACUCUAAAAUCAGCACAUCUCACUGCAGUGAAAUUAUACUUUAAUUUUAAAUAUUAAAAAAGAUAAUAGCCUGACAUUCAUAAAAUAUCUGAUUAGCCUACAAAAAUCAGGAAUUAACAUGUUUGCUUCUGUUAUCAUUGUGUUUCUUGGAUUCUUGAUGGAAACUGGUUUAUUGAGAUCAUUUAUGGCUAAGAAACAUAAACACUAAUCUUUAUUUUUUUUGUAUUUCGGCCAGCCCAAUAUUUAUUUUAUCUUCCAUUUGUGUUAAUCUUUAAAAAUUUAAAGAGGAUGUCCUUCUACUUUUCAAUUACAAAUAUAUUUCCUGCUCAUUUUAUAAAUUAAAAACAUAAAACAGCUAAUGAUCUCACAAUUACAAUAUUUGGUAGGAACAAACAUCUAUGUUCUAUUAAAGCGGAAAAUUGCAGAGGAGGAUAUGAGCAAAGCUGUACUACUACCUUCUUGUAGGGAUAGGGAGGGAGGGAGCAGAGGUGUGUAUUCAAAGAUGAGCAACCCUUUCACACAUCGGUACUUCUCCACCUCCCUGCAAAUGCUGUCUACCAGGUACCUGAGGUCACUCCAUCCCACUGUGACCUUCUCUUCAAGGGCAAUGAUCAUCAUCUUACUACUUGGAAUCUGACUCAAUGAGCCUUAGCUGAAUUUCACAGUUGCCCAACAAUUCAGGGGGGGAUAGGUUUUAGUGUUACCAGUUCCUCUUCCACACAAGAAAAAAAUCUCUAGCUAUCAUCUUAAACAUCUGGGGGGUGAGGGUGAGGGGAGGGAAUAACCUCAUUGUAUCUGGAUGACUUCUCACACAUGUUCCAUUAAUCUACCACAUCAGCUACUCGGUUUGAUCCCACUCUGCCUUGGCCGAGUUAAUGUUGCGUUGAUUUUGAUUUAUGUGUCCUAAUGGUCAUUUAUGCAGAUCAUUUUGGUGAGAGAGAAAAUAAUAACCCAGGGACAAACAUUUGAUAUUCUAGGAUUUCAUAAUGGUUACAAAAUCUGCCACCGAGUAUCAAUACCUUGCUCUAAUGCCCGCUUAGUUUCUAAAUAUACACACUGAUAUGAUAAAUACCAAGCAGACAAUAUUAAUGUAAAGUAGAUGCAAAUGAAAAUUGUUGUUGCCGUGAGAAAACUGAUGAUGAAAAUAAAAACUGAUGAUAUAAUAAGAUGUCACCCAUGGUCAAAGGCUAAUAAAACAAAUCUUUUCAUUUAAAAUCACAUAACAGUGUAAUCUAUUUGGAUUUAUCUUCAGAAUGCCAGCAAACAGAGUGGACAAUAUACUGGUCUUUAGAAUUUUAAAAAUACAUAAUUCGAUUAACUAUUUUGUGUAUCUAUAGAAAAUAAAAAUUCCAUCCAUCACCCACUGAAAUUUAGUAGAGGAGAAGUAAGAUAAAAAUAUUUAAAAGAAGAUCCAGUAGACAUUUCCAAUGAAAUAAAAAGAAAGAGAAGUUGGGGAUGGCAGAGCUGCCCUAGCCUGCAGAGUAGAGCCCUGUCUGUGCAGCUCUGCUUCCAUGAAACCCCUCCAAAAUGCACUAGAUCCAGCCAAUCCCCAAUCUUUUGUGGAAGGACUAAUCACUUACAUAAAGACACUCAGAUUUCUUAUUUGUAAAAUGGACUAACAAUGCCUGCCCUGUGGGACUGUUGCUAGAAAACCUUAAUAAGCAUAAUUCAUUCAAAAAAUCCUUGUUAAUGCCUUCCUGUGGCUGGUGCUGUUCUCAGCCUGGUGGUGAACAAACAGAUCAGAUGGCUUCUACAUUCCAGAGAAGGUGGCUGGGUGAGACCUGCCUUUGUUUGUGAAUACAAAUAACCUCCCCAUACAGUGCCUGCAUAGCAGGGCUGGUCUACACUACCCACAGAGAGACCCAUAAGGGUUCUUAGCCUGGGGUGACAGCAGUGGAGAGAAAAAAUGUCAAUACUUAGCAGAUGUAUUCUGAGUUAGAGUCAGUGGGACUCGCUGAUGGAUUAGAUGCUGGGGGUAAAAUCAGAAAUGGUCUCAAAAAUGACUACUAGGCAUUUGUCCUAAUAAUUAAUGAAAUAAUAAUUCAAUCUUAUUUUAAUCCAAGGAUUCUGUGUUACUUUAUAGUUUUAUGAUAUUUUAUCAUUUUAAAAGCAUUUUGAAACAUGUAAUGGCAUCUGAAAUAAUUUUUUUUUUUUUGGCUGCACCCAUGGCACGUGAAAGUUCCCAUAACCUGUGCAGUAGCAGUGAGCCAAGCUGGUGCAGUGAAAAUGCUGGAUCCUUAACCCACUGUGCCACAAGGGAACUCCAAUUUUUUUAGGAAACCAUGUCUGGUAUAAGGUUAGGAGGCUGGGAAAACAGCCAUGUCUCCAAUGUUAAUGUAAAGUAGGUAACCUUGUACUGAUUCCUGAAAAUAGACAAUUUGCAAAAAUCACUUACUUUUUACACCACUAUGAAAUGUACAGUAAUAACCCCAUUAUGAAGAUGAAUAAACUGGGGCUCAGAUAAGCUAAUGCACUUGUUUAGAUUUAUACAGCCAGUGAGCAAUAUUAAGAUUUUAUUCUGGUUCUUCUGAAUCUUAGUUCUGCAGUCCUUCCACACGCCAGUCUGCAGAUGCUCAGGAGCUUCCUCCAGGUCCACAAUGGCUUUUCUUCCCCUCUAAAGUAAGAGAAUCUAUCCUCGGAGGUAACCUAGGAGGUCGGUGGUUACCUUUGGUGGCCUAAGAAGGAGAAAGCAGGGCACUGAAAGAAUGGGAUAUUCUCUCCACCUGGAUAGAAGCGGGGGUGGAGGAGGGCAAGGUGAGGCCCUCGGCUCUGAGGAAAACCGGGCCCAGGACAGGUGGAGAUGAUGGAAAGAUGCUGAGAAUCUGGGGACACUGUUGUCCCCACAGGGAACCACAGCAGAAGCAAUAUUGUUGCUUUUCAUAUCCAGCCCCUGUUACAAUAAACUCAAUAAACAAAAGCCUUGUGGUCAGAUCUUUAAAACAGAGAUUAUGAAAAUACUCCUUCCGUGCCCUAUGUUUAAGAACAUUGGCUACACCCCACGUGUAAGAGUGCGAGAUGCUGAGAUCUGAGAUCCACAUGAGACAAAGGCCUUAUGCUGGCUCCGCACCGCUCCGGUUGCUUACACUGUGAAGGGGUCAGUUUCUUCCUGGUCAUUCACCCCCUUAGGGCACCUCUUCUCUUUUAGCUCAGAUUAGAUGUCCUAAUAGCUUAAGAAAAAGAACAAGCUUGGACAUUUUUAACCUAUUUAGAGACAUUAGGAGAAAUAGCCUAUCUGCUUAUUAUUUCUAUUUUUAAACAAACAAACAAAUAGAACAAACCUGCAGUGUGGGCAGCCAGUGUUAUUAUUUUGGUGAUUCCCUUCCCUCUGUUCUGAGCUGAAAUUGUGUGAGGCCAACGUCAAGGGAGGAAAUGAUUUUAGAGAGUGAA